This is a long non-coding RNA of Arvicanthis niloticus (Nile rat), 1087 nucleotides long. RefSeq lists it as uncharacterized. The record is from RefSeq and is a predicted model, not a curated record. NCBI's taxonomy places the organism in Eukaryota, Metazoa, Chordata, Mammalia, Rodentia, Muridae.
AGGGCCUUCCUAACACAGAGAGCUGGGACGGUGUUCCUGGCACGUCUGGUCAGACAGGAAGACAACUGUGAGAAAGACUAGUGGAGUGUUAAGCCUGGGAAUGUCAUUGCUCCAGCAGGCUCACUUCUCUCAAGGUUGAGAGACACAGAUCUUUGUAGAGGAGUGUAGAAAACUAGCUGCCCCCUGUCCCUGACAGGAAACCAUGACUCUAAAAGAAUAUGCAAGACAUUUCACCCCCAUGCAGCCGAAGGUCGGCUGUACAAACCUUUCCAAAUGUCACCCUGCAACCACUGCUGACAGAAACUCCGGAGAUGCCAAAGCGCCUUGGGAUCUGCUGUUAACUCUCACCCCAAGCUGGAGGGUUUUGUUUGUUUGUUUGUUUGUUUGUCUUGUUUCUGCGGGAGCUAACAAAAUUCUUUGUGCACAGCCUGAGGAGUUGGCUUUCUGAGCCUUGGAGCUGGUGGUGCAGGACUCCGUGGUGUUUUUCCUGUCUUCCUGGGCUCCUAGAGGUCCCAAGGAGAAAACCCCAUGCUCAGGUUUCCAGAAUGGACGCUUAGGAGUCAGAGCCUCUGCUCCAGCUUCUGUGGGAGGGAGCUUGCAGGUGCCUGGAGACAACCAGCUUGCACCUGGCCGAAGCUCGCAAUCUCCGCUCUUGAUGAAGCAUGACAGAUGCCCAUGGACACGGACACGUGAGUGAGGCAGCAACUAUGCCUGCCAUACUGGCGGGCUGAAGCAAGAAUAGGCUUGCUGAAGAGCCACCGCAGCUAUCCCUGCUCUGCUCUGAGGACCAGCACCUUCAUACCCACCCCACUCCCUCCGUAGUCCUUGCUAACCUGGUUGCCGCUGUCACUACACCCUGCCACAGUCUGGCCUCCCCACCUUAUUGUCCCUGUAAGCAAGGGAGCUCAGGCUAGCCUGUCUCGGGGGAUUCUUCUGACUCCCACACCAGGAGUUCAUCCCUCCUACCAUUGGAGUCCCAGGGCUGAACUCAAGGCCUCAGGCUUGGCCAGCAAUACCUCCCACCACUGACCCAGCAGAAAGUUGUGUUUGUUUGUGUGUGUGUGUGUGUGUGUGUGUGUGUUUGAGA